Small nucleolar RNA from Acomys russatus (golden spiny mouse), 65 nucleotides. RefSeq annotates it as small nucleolar RNA SNORD109A. NCBI's taxonomy places the organism in Eukaryota, Metazoa, Chordata, Mammalia, Rodentia, Muridae. The transcript has a single exon. The record is from RefSeq and is a predicted model, not a curated record.
GGAUCUAUGAUGAGAACAAGUAUCUGAGAACGUUGACUGAUUUAUACAGAUGCAAGCUGAGGUCC